Boleophthalmus pectinirostris (great blue-spotted mudskipper) is the source of this 752-nucleotide long non-coding RNA. RefSeq lists it as uncharacterized. NCBI's taxonomy places the organism in Eukaryota, Metazoa, Chordata, Actinopteri, Gobiiformes, Gobiidae. The record is from RefSeq and is a predicted model, not a curated record. The transcript is spliced from 3 exons.
AGAAGAUGGACAUAACAGCAUGAUAAAGACCCUCUGGAGUUCCAAAAAUGUAGAGACAGACCCUGUAACAUGCUGUGGUGGAGUUUAAAGACUGACCCUCCGUAAGUGCAUAGAUUUCUCCAAUCAAGUGUUUACCUUUCAUGUUCAAAUCACACAGCCACUGUCAUGACUUACAAUGUUCUUCACAAACCUGAACUCUAACUCCUUACAAGAAUAAGAGGUGUAAUGGGGUGUUUAAUACACACUGGUGUCAUUUCAGAUGUGAGAAAGGGGAAGCCCAGUCCUGGACACUGACAGACUGGAUCUUCACCAGUAGGAUUGAAGAGGAGCCAGACUCACUGCACCUCUGCCUCAAAACCUCUGCCUCAGACUGAAGCUAAAGACAGAGGCUCUGAAGCUCCCACACUGCACACUCUAUAAGAACAACCAUCCGUCUAAUUGUACUGUGGUGGUAAACACAAGUUAAGUUUUAAACAGUAUGGUAUGGCUACACUCUGUCUCAUCUGUCCAGGCUUUUACUCAUAUAGCUUAUAUUUGUUUUUUGCCAUUUAAAAAAAACAAAAACUUUGCUUAACUUGAACUAUUUUUAGUAAAAACUGUAAAUUGUCAUUUUCAUAUUAAGAAUGAAGCAUUGGUUAACUCAAAGGGUAUAUAAGUCCUAUAACAUUAAUAAUAAGUAUUCAUGUCCUAAGAUUUCUAAUUAAUGAUUUAAAUAAAUAUAGUUUACAAUGUAAAAAAAAAAAAAAAAAAGU